AGUGAACGCUGGCGGUAGGCCUAACACAUGCAAGUCGAACGGCAGCACAGUAAGAGCUUGCUCUUACGGGUGGCGAGUGGCGGACGGGUGAGGAAUACAUCGGAAUCUACUUUUUCGUGGGGGAUAACGUAGGGAAACUUACGCUAAUACCGCAUACGACCUACGGGUGAAAGCAGGGGAUCUUCGGACCUUGCGCGAUUGAAUGAGCCGAUUUCGGAUUAGCUAGUUGGUGGGGUAAAGGCCCACCAAGGCGACGAUCCGUAGCUGGUCUGAGAGGAUGAUCAGCCACACUGGAACUGAGACACGGUCCAGACUCCUACGGGAGGCAGCAGUGGGGAAUAUUGGACAAUGGGCGCAAGCCUGAUCCAGCAAUACCGCGUGGGUGAAGAAGGCCUUCGGGUUGUAAAGCCCUUUUGUUGGGAAAGAAAAGCAGCAGGUUAAUACCCCGCUGUUCUGACGGUACCCAAAGAAUAAGCACCGGCUAACUUCGUG
RNAcentral lists this ribosomal RNA (492 nucleotides) under uncultured bacterium. Its description in RNAcentral is "partial 16S ribosomal RNA". It matches the Rfam family "Bacterial small subunit ribosomal RNA", at positions 29 to 507 of the family's 1533-position model. The record is from RNAcentral.